UCGGGCCUGGCUGGGUGGUCUUGCCGCAAGGUAAGCACUGCUCUGGUCGGGUCUUUCCUUCUGGGGAACCAAUGUGCUCUUAAUUGAGUGCGUUGGGGAUCCAGGACUUUUACUUUGAAAAAAUUAGAGUGUUUAAAGCAGGCUUACGCUUGAAUACAUUAGCAUGGAAUAAUAGAAUAGGACUUUGGUUCUAUUUGUUGUCA
This 203-nucleotide ribosomal RNA is filed under the name uncultured Chytridiomycota. RNAcentral describes it as "partial 18S ribosomal RNA". The stretch from base 93 to 203 matches the Rfam family "Eukaryotic small subunit ribosomal RNA", at positions 735 to 848 of the family's 1831-position model. The record is from RNAcentral. Lineage: Eukaryota; Fungi; Chytridiomycota.